RNAcentral lists this ribosomal RNA (653 nucleotides) under Cyphellophora reptans. RNAcentral describes it as "eukaryotic LSU rRNA". It matches the Rfam family "Eukaryotic large subunit ribosomal RNA", at positions 161 to 831 of the family's 3401-position model. The record is from RNAcentral. Lineage: Eukaryota; Fungi; Ascomycota; Eurotiomycetes; Chaetothyriales; Cyphellophoraceae.
GUUUCGGGCACGGUCCGGGCUUAAAUUUCUUGGAACAGAAUGUCACAGAGGGUGAGAAUCCCGUCUGGAGUCCGGACACGGCCCAUGUGAAACUCCUUCGACGAGUCGAGUUGUUUGGGAAUGCAGCUCUAAAUGGGUGGUAAAUUUCAUCUAAAGCUAAAUACUGGCCAGAGACCGAUAGCGCACAAGUAGAGUGAUCGAAAGAUGAAAAGCACUUUGAAAAGAGAGUUAAACAGUACGUGAAAUUGUUGAAAGGGAAGCGCUGUCAACCAGACUUGCGCGUCGGGGUUCCCCCUUGCUUCUGCCUGGGUUACUCCCCGGCGUUCAGGCCAACAUCGGUUUCGGGGGUUGGUUAAAGGCCCUGGGAAUGUAUCUACCCUCCGGGGUAGACUUAUAGCCCAGGGUGUCAUGCGACCUCCCGGGACCGAGGAACGCGCUUCGGCUCGGAUGUUGGCGUAAUGGUUGUCAGCGACCCGUCUUGAAACACGGACCAAGGAGUCUAACAUCUAUGCGAGUGUUAGGGUGUCAAACCCUUACGCGGAAUGAAAGUGAACGGAGGUAGGAAGCCUUAAGGCUGCACUAUCGACCGAUCCUGAUGUCUUCGGAUGGAUUUGAGUAAGAGCAUAGCUGUUGGGACCCGAAAGAUGGUGAAC